UAUGAAAAUUGAUGAAACAUUGAUAUAUUUGAUAAAAAGGGGAAUAAUGCAUUGAAUGGAUGUAUGAAUGUUUAUCACACUAUCCAUUAAUUCUAUCGGUAAUUUUGGAUAUUUUGAUUAUGGUUAUAAUGGCAUGUAUGAGUUAAAUUGGCCAACGUUAGCUCAUUAAUGUUUUGAUUUUGAUUGAUUUUAAAUAUGAAUCCUUGAUGAAAUGAAAUGUUUGUAAAUUAAUUUGUAAACUCCGAUAAUGCUCUAUAACCCUAUUCUGGAGAUGAAUACGGGUUAGGGGUGUUACAUUCGUAGUUCAUAAUCACAGGUGAAAUUCCUGGAUUUAUGAAAGACGAGCAGCUACGAAAGCAUUUUCCAAGGAUGUUUUCGUUAAUCAAGAAUGAAAUUUGGGUGCUCGUAGGGAUCAAAUACCAUCUUAGUGUCAACCAUAAACGAUGUCAACCAAGGAUCGACGAAUGUUGCUUUUAGGACUCCACCAGCACCUUAUGCGAAAUCUAAGUCUUUGGGAUCUGGGGGAGUAUGGUCGCAAGGCUGAAACUUAAAGGAAUUGAUGGUAGGGCACCACUAGGAGUGGAGCCUACAGCUUAAUUUGACUCAACACAAGGAAACUUAACAGGUCCAGACAUACUAAGGAUUGACAAAUUGAUAUCUCUUUCUUGAUUCUACGAGUGGUAGUGCAUGGCCAUUCUUAGUUGGUGGAGCGAUUUUUCUAGUUAAUUCUAUUAAUGAACGAGACCUCAGCCUGCUAACUAGCUACACUGAGGUGAUCCUCCAUAGCUAGCUUCUUAAAGGGACUAUGGCCUUUUAGGCUAAGGAAGUUUGAGGUAAUAGCAGGUCUGUUAUGCCCUUAGAUGUUCUAGGCCACACGCGUGCUACACUGAUACAUUCAACGAGUCUAUAGCUUUGUACACAGGCCUGGGUAAUCUUUGAAAUUUCAUCGUGAUAGGGAUAGAUCAUUACAAUUAUUGGUCUUCAAUGAGGAAUUCCUACUAAGUGCAAGUCAUCAGCUCGUGAUGACUAUGCCCUUACCCUUUGUACGCAUCGCCCGUUGCUCUUACCGAUUGAAUGGUCUGGUGAAGCGUUCGGAUCGAUGUGACGUAGGCGAUUCGCUGCCCAUGACAUCACAAGAAGUUCACUAAACCUUAUCAUUUAGUGGAAGGAUAAGUCAUAACAAGGUUUCCCAACAAGCCAAGC
This 1203-nucleotide non-coding RNA is filed under the name Gossypium hirsutum (cotton). RNAcentral describes it as "Eukaryotic small subunit ribosomal RNA". It matches the Rfam family "Eukaryotic small subunit ribosomal RNA", at positions 602 to 1831 of the family's 1831-position model. Lineage: Eukaryota; Viridiplantae; Streptophyta; Magnoliopsida; Malvales; Malvaceae. The record is from Rfam by way of RNAcentral.